GGAUAAUUUCUGGAAACGGAAACUAAAACCGGAUAGGUAAUAGAGAAGCAUUUCUGCAUUAUUAAAGAAGCCUCAAAGCUUUGAACAUGGAUGGACCUGCGGUGCAUUAGCUAGUUGGUAAGGUAACGGCCUACCAAGGCGACGAUGCAUAGCCGACCUGAGAGGGCGAACGGCCACAUUGGGACUGAGACACGGCCCAAACUCCUACGGGAGGCAGCAGUAGGGAAUUCUCGUCAAUGGGGGGAACCCUGAACGAGCAAUGCCGCGUGAGUGAAGACGGUCUUCGGAUUGUAAAGCUCUGUUGUGAGAGAAAAAGGAUAUGUAUAGGAAAUGAUAUGUAUUUGAUGGUAUCUCACCAGAAAGUCACGGCUAACUACGUGCCAGCAGCCGCGGUAAUACGUAGGUGGCGAGCGUUAUCCGGAAUGAUUGGGCGUAAAGGGUACGUAGGCGGCAUGAUAAGUCUGGAGUGAAAGGCUACAGCUCAACUGUAGUAUGCUCUGGAAACUGUCAAGCUAGAGUGCAGAAGAGGGCAAUGGAACUCCAUGUGUAGCGGUAAAAUGCGUAGAUAUAUGGAAGAACACCGGUGGCGAAGGCGGUUGCCUGGUCUGAAACUGACGCUGAAGUACGAAAGCGUGGGGAGCAAAUAGGAUUAGAUACCCUAGUAGUCCACGCCGUAAACGAUGAGAACUAGGUGUUGGGGGAAUAACUCAGUGCCGCAG
Molecule: ribosomal RNA, 719 nt
Filed under: uncultured bacterium
Lineage: Bacteria
Description: bacterial SSU rRNA
Rfam family: Bacterial small subunit ribosomal RNA
Source: RNAcentral